RNAcentral lists this ribosomal RNA (1242 nucleotides) under Triticum aestivum (bread wheat). Its description in RNAcentral is "partial small subunit ribosomal RNA". The record is from RNAcentral. Lineage: Eukaryota; Viridiplantae; Streptophyta; Magnoliopsida; Poales; Poaceae.
AUGGAGGCGACGGCCAUCAGCAUCGGCAAGUCCGUGUUGAGCGGGGCGCUCAACUACGCCCAGUCGACCGUGGCCGAGGAGGUGGCUCUGCAGCUUGGUGUCCAGCGAGACCAUUCCUUCAUCACGGACGAGCUGGAGAUGAUGCAGUCAUUCCUGAUGGCUGCGCACGACGAGAGAGACGACAAUAGGGUGGUCAGGACUUGGGUGAAACAAGUCCGUGACGUCUCCUACACCGUCGAGGACUGCCUCCUGGAUUUUGCUGUCCGUCUCGAGAAGCAAUCCUGGUGGUGUCUCUCUCGCAAGGGGCUGGCCCGCCGUUAUGUGGCCAUGCAGAUGAAGGAGCUCAGAGACAAGGUGGAGGAGGUCAGCCAGAGGAGCCAACGCUACCACCUCAUCAAGGGCUCCAGCUCCAAGCCUACCUCUGCUGUUGGGCCGCCUAUCAUGUCCAGCGCGAUGAUGACUGCUGCCGAUGAUGCAAGGCUGCGGCGGCAUAAAGCAAAAAUGGAUCUCGCCGAGUUGAUCAAUUGCAAGAAUGAUGACACACUCCGAGUGGUUGCGUUGUGGGGCACAAGUAUUAGUGAACUGGAGGAGACAUCCAUCAUCAAGAGUGCUUAUGAAGAUCCCAUGAUACACAAGAAUUUUGAUUGCUGUGCUUGGAUCACAUUGGUGUACCCUUUCAAUCAGACGAAUUUCAUUCAAAGCAUUGUUAGGCAAAUCUAUGAAAAUUCUCUACAAGAGACAGGAGAAGAAGGAAAAACAACUAUUGGGGUCCAAGUUUUGAAGCUGAUGACAACAACAAAAGAAGAUGGUUUGGCUCAUGUGUUCAGGAGAUUCUUGAUUAAGAGGGCGGAGAAAGAUAGCUUGGUUUAUGAGUUCAAGAGAUAUUUGAAUGAUAAGAGUUAUCUAAUUGUACUCAAUGACAUACGGACCAUUGAAGAGUGGGAUUGCAUUAAAACAUGUUUCCCAAACAACAAGAAAGGAAGCCGAAUCAUAGUAUCAACUGAGCAAGUUGAAGUUGCAAGCUUAUGCAUAGGAGCAGAGGAAGAAGCUUUAGUGCAUAAGAAGUUAUUUUCUGAUCAAUCUUUUUAUGCGUUCUACACUAAGAAGAAGAUGUUGGUGCUGAAAAAAGGAGAAGAAAAAAAGAAAGUAUUAUUGCAUCAAGAAACGUCCGAAGAAACUUUUUUUGAAGCACUGAAGUAUUAUUGUUGUCGAUGGAGUCAGUUCAAUUUGGUUCUUAUUUGA